GGGGGCGAAACGGCUUCGACGGGGAUAAAAAAGCUUAAGUUGCAUAUCGAGGUUCUGUUUGCUCGUUAAACAGGCAGAAAACAAUAAACGCAGACGAUUAUGCGUAUGCUUUAGCCGCUUAAAAGGCUAACGUCCUCCCAUUCUUUCCUGUGAGAAUGGAUUUGGGCGCCGACUAACAGGAUAGCUAACCUGAGAGACCUGAAUCUCAGGAAGGUGAAAAUUUUUUCAGGUUAGUUCCUUAUUCAUCUUGCCCGAAAGGGGUCUAAGGGAUGAACAUUAAAGUUCGGGCUAUGUAUGUAGAGGCUUAAGUGGAAUAUUUUCGGACGGGGGUUCGACUCCCCCCGCCUCCACCA
Molecule: transfer-messenger RNA, 353 nt
Filed under: Pseudomonadota bacterium
Lineage: Bacteria; Pseudomonadati; Pseudomonadota
Description: Proteobacteria bacterium (cold seep metagenome) transfer-messenger RNA
Rfam family: transfer-messenger RNA
About the family: Bacterial tmRNA, also known as 10Sa RNA or SsrA, is named for its dual tRNA and mRNA-like properties.
Source: RNAcentral